UGUUCGGCUGUUUGUAUGUUUUUUUUUUUUUUGUAUGUUUGUUCAUCGAAUACUCCGUCAAUUGUCGACGGAUUUUCAAAAUUCUUUUUUUGUUCGAAAGUAGAUAGUUCUGAGGUGGUCCCAUUGUCACCAAGUUAGGAUCUGAUGAUGGAAUCUUAGAGAAAUCGAGGGAACUCCUCAAAUAUUAUAGGGAACUAUAUAGUGAUUUUGGUAUAUUCAUCUAGAAUUGAAGCAUUUACAGUCAAAAAGUAACCUUUGAAGAGGUGGAACUGAUGAAGAAGACCAGAAAUGGCCAAUGGAACUUCAUACUCACAUAGAAAUCACAAUAAAGUUAAUCAAUACUCCGUCAAUUGUCGACGGAUUUUCACAAUUCUUUUUUUGUUCGAAAGUAGAUAGUUCUGAGGUGGUCCCAUUGUCACCAAGUUAGGAUCUGAUGAUGGGAUCUUAGAGAAAUCGAGGGAACUCCUCAAAUAUUAUAGGGAACUAUAUAGUGAUUUUGGUAUAUUCAUCUAGAAUUGAAGCAUUUACAGUCAAAAAGUAACCUUUGAAGAGAUGGAACUGAUGAAGAAGACCAGAAAUGGCCAAUGGAACUUCAUACUCACAUAGAAAUCACAAUAAAGUUAAUUAAGUGACUGUGACAAUACAAAUAAAUAAAGUAGUUAUUGAGAUAGAGAAUUUUAGCCGACUUUUUUAGUUGCGAUACUGAGUAUCGCACCUAAAAAGUGUGAAAUAAAAUACUUUUUACAAAAAAAUAAACCGACUUCACUAAAAAAGUUAAAAAUAACUUUAAUUUCGGAAGUCGGUGUAGCAAACAAAUAAUACCGAGAAACACCGACUUUCGAAAUUAAAGUUAUUUUUAACUUUUUUAGUGAAGUCGGUUUAUUUUUUUAACAUGAACAUUCCACAGCUGCUGAUCACAAUUUGGGUCGGUUCCAGCAGUACUAAACAUGACGACAUAAAGUCCAAAAUACUAAUAUGAAAUAUCUAUGUAUUUCGCUAAUGAUCAUCACCGACAAUAAACUUAUAACUUUAACAAUAAAUUUCUAGUAAUCUAUGUUUAAAAAAUCGACCUUCAACCUCCUCUUUUUAAAGUCGGUUAAUAUACUAAAACCUGCUUCUAAGUGUUAAACACUUUUCUGAAAUUCGCAUCAAAAUCGGUUCGGCCAAUCGUGACAUAUUCGCGCGCAAACAUACAUACAUAUCAAAUAGAGAACCUCCUUCUUUUUUGAAGUCGGUUAAAAAUUUCGUGUUCAAGUCCUUCUUCUACAUUGCUUUGCAUUGAGCAGUUUUCUGCUCACACAUUUUAAGUUUAUUACUUUUUUAUGUAGGCAGAUUACAAUAGUUUGUUGCCACAGAGUCACACAUUAUAUAAUUGUAAUAGUUCUACUGUGAAGCGGCUCGUUGAUUUCUCUUUACUUUCUAACAUUAAAUAGCUAAAGCGAGCAAAAUUAUAAAAAUGCUAAUUGAUUUUCGGCGCUCAAAUUUAUUUAGUAGAGCGUACUGGCUUCCAGUUGAUGUCAUAGUUUGCGGUAAGGUCAAUGAACUUGCAAUGAACAUUGUCUACGAUUAAUAAUUCAUGUUGUAAUGGCGACUGCCCGCGACUACAUUUAAUGUGCUCACUUUUUUCAAUCAUUACUGAAGAUUAAUUUAUAAGAAUAAAUCCUUCCUAAAUAAGAAUAAAACGUCCAGUUUAAUACUGGUACCGUAUGUAACGUACAUUUUAUGAAAAGGCGUGAAACUGAUACCGUAUUUAUCGAUUUGACACUGACAUAGUUAUGUAAAAAGAUCAUGUAGUUAUAUAGGCACUUUUAUUUGAAGUGUUAUGAGUCACCACUGUACCAGCAAGAGA
Molecule: long non-coding RNA, 1849 nt
Organism: Spodoptera frugiperda (fall armyworm)
Lineage: Eukaryota; Metazoa; Arthropoda; Insecta; Lepidoptera; Noctuidae
Exons: 2
Source: RefSeq, a predicted model, not a curated record